Molecule: ribosomal RNA, 418 nt
Filed under: uncultured Oscillospiraceae bacterium
Lineage: Bacteria; Bacillati; Bacillota; Clostridia; Eubacteriales; Oscillospiraceae
Description: bacterial SSU rRNA
Rfam family: Bacterial small subunit ribosomal RNA
Source: RNAcentral
CAGCAGUGGGGAAUAUUGGGCAAUGGGCGAAAGCCUGACCCAGCAACGCCGCGUGAGUGAUGAAGGCCUUCGGGUUGUAAAACUCUUUGGACAGGGACGAAGAAAGUGACGGUACCUGUAGAACAAGCCACGGCUAACUACGUGCCAGCAGCCGCGGUAAUACGUAGGUGGCGAGCGUUAUCCGGAUUUACUGGGCGUAAAGGGCGUGUAGGCGGCUAGAUAAGUGUGAUGUUUAAAUCCAAGGCUUAACCUUGGGGUUCAUUACAAACUGUUUAGCUUGAGUGCUGGAGAGGAUAGUGGAAUUCCUAGUGUAGCGGUAAAAUGCGUAGAUAUUAGGAGGAACACCGGUGGCGAAGGCGGCUAUCUGGACAGUAACUGACGCUGAGGCGCGAAAGCGUGGGGAGCAAACAGGAUUAGA